AGUGAACGCUGGCGGCGUGCUUAACACAUGCAAGUCGAACGAGAACGGAAUAUAGCUUGCUAUAUUUGUCAGCUAAGUGGCGCACGGGUGAGUAAUGUAUAGAUAACCUGCCCUUAAGAAAGGAAUAACAGUUGGAAACGACUGCUAAUGCCCUAUAUGCCUUUAAUACGUAAGUAUGCAAGGGAAACGCUUUAGUGCUUAAGGAUGGGUCUGUAUGGUAUCAGCUUGUUGGUGAGGUAAUGGCUCACCAAGGCUAUGACGCCUAACUGGUUUGAGAGGAUGAUCAGUCACACUGGAACUGAGACACGGUCCAGACUCCUACGGGAGGCAGCAGUGGGGAAUAUUGCACAAUGGACGAAAGUCUGAUGCAGCAACGCCGCGUGGAGGAUGACACAUUUCGGUGCGUAAACUCCUUUUAUAUAGGAAGAUAAUGACGGUACUGUAUGAAUAAGCACCGGCUAACUCCGUGCCAGCCGCCGCGGUAA
This 485-nucleotide ribosomal RNA is filed under the name uncultured bacterium. RNAcentral describes it as "partial 16S ribosomal RNA". It matches the Rfam family "Bacterial small subunit ribosomal RNA", at positions 29 to 523 of the family's 1533-position model. The record is from RNAcentral.